CUACAUAUACCAGCCACUAGAAACUGCUCUGAACCUCUCACUUUCAGCCCAAUGACAGCUCUCUAACUCUGACUUAUAGUUCUAUCAUACAUCAACACAGCGUCAUGCAGAAGUCACUUAUCCAAAGAAGGUGAUUGGCAGAGGUCGUGGUCAGGUCCCCUCCCUGCUGUGCCCUCCCCUGACUGUCCUUAUGUUCUCCUCUGCAUUCUCUCGUCUCUGUGGUUUCAAUGUUCUGGUAGUCAGUGUCCAGGAUGAUGCACCUCCUCCUCCUCCUGCUGCUAAGGGAACACAGCAUAUGGUAUCUCACGUACCUUUCUGAGGCUUGUUUUUCUUCUCUUCAUUUUCUUGUUCUUUUUUCUUUAUCUAGUUUCUUCUUUUUCUUCCUCUCUUCUUCAACUUUUUUCCUUUCUUUCUCUUUUUUUUCUUCCUUUCUUCAACUUUUUCCUUUCUCUUCUUUUUCUUUCUCUCUUUUUUCUUCUUUUUCUUUCUUUUCCUUCCUCUCUUCAACUUGUUUUCUUUUUCUUUCUUUUUCUUCCUCUUCAACUUCUUUCCCUUUUCUUUUUCUUCUUCCUCUUUUCCUUUCUUUUCUUCCUCUACUUCAACUUUUUUCCUUUCUUUUUCUUCUUUUUUCAUUCUUUUCUUCUUCCUCUUCAGACCUGUGCUUGAAUCUAACACACUGACAAACCCAAUCGCUAUGAAUUCCCUGAUAAUAUAACAUGUGGCUGCAAACUAUAGUGACUCUCAAUGACCUCAGUGUUCCAGUGGCAUCAGAUUUUGAGGAAUUGUAGUGCAGUAUAUUUUUCAUUCCAUAACAAACCUAUACCAAAGCCUUUUUACAGAUCUCAGUCAAAGUCAAAUUUUAUGUUAUUAUUUUCUUAAGGCCGAGUUUGAGCCUCUCUCUACUACUAUUACUAUUAUUAUAACUACUACUACUACUACUACUACUACCACCACUACUACUAUUACUACUGUUGCCAAAAAUACUAGUGAUGAGUUUGCCAGGAGAAUCUAAGAAAGAAGUCGUUCUGUAUCACUCAAACCCAGAGGCACUUAAAUAUUUUUAUUAUUACAAGUAUAAAAUAUAUUAGUGGUAUAUUCAAGGUGACAUAAACUUUUAUAUAUAUACUUUCCAUAACCAUAAUAAUAAUUCAUAUAGCUGUUUAUAUAUACAAAUGAUUUCACUAUUCCGCAUGAGUGGUAACUGAGUGGUGGGAACUGAGCGGGUGAGGAGAGGAAACGCCUGCUGAGAGGAGAACAGAUUAUCAAUGACUCUUGACGGGAAGGAAAUAGUGUUGAUGGAGGUAUGAGGGGUUGAGUGUAGAAAGGGCAAACUCACCCAAAGAAAGUACCAUUGAAAGAACUCCAUCUCUAGUCGCAACAGGCUUAUAUUAUGGCGUCUGCUGAUAAGAGAACAGAAUAACAAUGUGACUCUAGAUGGGUAAGAAAUAGUGUUAAUAACAUGGUGUCGAGAGAAGAAAGGUCAAACUCACCACCAACAGAAACGUGAUAUUUGGUAACAACAUAAGGUUUCUCUUCUAUGUAAAGAGUUGGUGAAUUUGUCUUUGUUAGUGAGAAAAGGAGGGGAAAACCGAGAUUGAGCCACUCCAGAUGGGAAAGAAGCCUCGUCAACAGCAGUAUGAGGCGUAGAGAACAGAACGGGCAAACUCGCCUAAAAUAAGUACGAGAGAAAAAACUAUAGGUGUUUGCUGCUGGGGAAAAGAGAUUAACAACAACUGGAUGGGAAUGAAAUAGUGUCAAAAGUAUGAGAUGCUGAGAAAAGAAAGGGCAAACUCACCUAUAUUAAGUACAAUUGAAAAAACUCCAUUUCUACGUAGAUACAGUACCCCCCCAUGCCAGGACCAGGGAAGCCAGAUAACCUCCUCCCCUUUUUAUUUUUACAGUAUGGGAAGCAGCUCAAGGGCAAACAAAAAUCCCACUCAGUCCUGCUCCUUCCUUCUGUGCCUCCUCACUAAUAAAGAGACAAACUCCCCAUCCCUUGACAAGGUAGAAGAAAUUAUCAGGCUUAUGUUGGUACCUAAAAUCACAUAUCUUUUGCUAGUGAGUUUGUGCUUUCUAAUCCGAGCAUCUCUUGUUCUUUACCUCCUCUUCUCACUAACAUAGAGACAAACUCCCCAUCUCUUGACAAGGUAGAAGAAAUUAUCAGGCUUAUAUUGGUACCUAAAACCACAUUAUCUUAAGGUAGUGAGUUUGUGCUUUCUAAUCCAAGCAUCUCUUAUUCUUUACCUCCUCUUCUCACUAAUAAAGAGACAAACUCCCCAUCUCUUGACAAGGUAGAAAAAAUUAUCAGGCUUAUGUUGGUGCCUAAAAUCACAUUAUCUUUUGCUAGUGAGUUUGUGCUUUCUAAUCCGAGCAUCUCUUCUUUACCUCCUCUUCUCACUAACAAAGAAACAAACUCACCAUUUCUUAACAUAGAAGAAAAAAAUGGGUUAUGCUUGUACCUAAAAUCAUGUCUCUAUUGAUAACAAGUUUGACCUUUCUAGUCCGAGCAAGUGUUGUGUGGCCCAAGGCUCAGCAGCGUAAAAACCAGACCCUUUCAAGACACUCCGGCGCACCGAUAACGUUCUUUCCGUAAGGGUGAGAAGAUAUACAUUUGUAGGCAUCAUGAUUAGUUACCGCCAGACCACUUGACCAUGUGCCCUCUGUCCCUUGCCCUCUCUACAUUGAGGAAUGUUACCGUUGUUAUGUUGUCUGUUUUGGGUAAGAGAGAAAGGACAGCAGUGAGGGCAACUGCUCAGCCAGACUACAUCACUUCCGAGAAACAACUUCUGGUAAGGCCUUUUGCUACCUCAUUAACUUCCAAUCAACCUGUUACUGUGACUCCAGCCCGGGCAGCGAGGUAACAGUGUGAUCCUAGCUAUUAUCAACAAAGACCUCACACACGUUACCCAAAACAGACAAUGUAACAGUGGUAACAAGCAUCAACCUCAAGCCCAACCUCUUUUUACAUAGCCACGCUCGUAAACAAACUGCCUGAUUAAUAUUUUUCUAGACUUCGGGAAUUUGGAAAAAAAAUGUCUUUCUCACUCGGUUUAUGAUAUGGGAAGAAAUGUUAACCGUGCAGCAGCGACGGGCCAAAUUUGUGCCAUGAUAUAACCCCCCCAAAAAUACAUGAUACAUAGUCUGAUCACAAAUGCUUCGAUAUAGAGUAUUAUGAAAUGGUUUGUGUGAGGGGUGAUUUUUUCUCAUUUUUCUCGCUUAGAGGGACCAUUAAGAAACAUGAUCCCCGCUGCUACCGGGUUAAGGCAAAUUUUAGUAGAACACUCCCACCUGCAAUGACAAAGAUGACAACUAUAUGAAAAGGUGCAUCAAAUGAAAAAAAAAAAUUAAGUAAAAAAAUAUGGAAAUUGCCGAAAAUGACUAAUGCAAUUUUUUCAUGAAGGUGAUGAUUAGGUGACUGUUCUCAUGGUUUAGGUCAUUAUUUCUGCCUAUAUAUCAUAAGCCGAAUGAGGAAAUGAGUUUUUUUUGCGAUUUCCCGAAGAGUAAGAAAGAUGAAUCGAGCAACUUUGUUAAUGAGGGUGUGAUGAUACGUGAUUGUUUUCAUGGCUUGGGUUGUCGUCUUGUCGAUCAAAACAACAAAAACAACCUCAGCCAAGAAUAGAGAAUUGAUUGUGACAAAAAUCUGAAAAUCGACAAAAAAAAAUCACAGGCAGUUUGAUUACGAAGGUGACGAUUGUGAUUAUUUUCAUGGUUCACGUCUGGCCGAUCAAAACAAUGAAAUUACAACCUCAGACAAAGACACCAAAGAGAGGACCAAGCUUAGGGAGCAAGGUAAUGGCUGGCAGGCUGGUGGCAACAAUAUAUAAUUUUUAGGCAUCUAUGAACAUGUCAACAAAUGGCUUACGUCUACUGAACAACCUUAAAGCUACGACAACAAGGGCUCCAAAUGCAUGCGUGUGGCUUGUAUUAGCUCAGGCACGGCAGCAAGAGUGACCAAUAGCAGUGGAUUAUGAGGCGUGUGUAGCACCAACCCUACAGUGUAUUAACCGUGACUCCAAGAGCAAGAGAAGAUUAUAUGUAAUGUUCAACAAGCUUCAAUGGGUGACUGUUGUGGAGAUUUCUAUAGCCAUCCCAGAGCCAUGGGGUAGGAGAGCUUGGCCAAUGUGAUUACAGGCACCACAGUGGUUGCCUACAGACCCGUGCAAAACUCAAAUUGAUGCUGAUAUGAUCAGGGAUGGACUGAAUACAAGAAUGUGUAUUCGAAUAUAAAUAUGAAUACUUCAAAUUCAAAUGAAUAUGAAUACAAAUUUGAAUCCAAAGAAAUGCUUUUAAUUCAAAUACAAAUACGAAUACUUCUUGAAAGUAUGCAUGAAAACAUUGAUGAAUACUUUUCAUUAAUAAAUACCUUCUAUACGUAACUGGGUAUAAUACUGCUCUAAAGUUAUGCAACAUGGAAAUAGGCCAUGAACCUGUACUAUACACGCAGUUUCAUGUCCACCCAGGAGGCUGGAGUUGUAAGGAACAACGGCUGUUAUUUCUGAUAAAUUUUUACGUAUUAGUCAGAUUAUUCGCAGAAUAUGAAUACUUUUCCCUUGUAUCUGAGUAAGAAUGAGAAUACUUUGAUUUAUAUCAAUAAUUAUUUGAAUACGAAUACAAUUACACCCAAAUACGGUAUUCAAAUGCAUUUGAAUAUGAAUCCUGAAUAUGAAUACUCCAUCCCUGGGCAUGAUAUGCUGUGUUUUGUGUUCUUGGUACUUCUUUGAGACCCUCACCAUACCUAAAGCACACACACACAAAACAACACUAUCAUAUCACCAUCAUUUUCAAUUUCACUUGAAUCUUUUAGUACCAACAGCACACCUGUGAUACGGGUGGCCACACUUUCCUAUUCCCUGGCUCUGGUCGGCCCCGGCACCACCCGGCUACUGAAGGGGAACACAAAGACCGGUUAUAGUUGUACAGGUUCAAGGCACGUGACUGCAUUGUAACCUGGCUCAUUCACUGUGGCUUUGUAGCGAGUACUCGAGAGGAUCAGGUAUGCAUUAACUCCUAAAGAAACAUGAGAUAAUAAUAGAGAAGUCCAUAGGAAGUGCAUGCCACCUCCAAUACCACUCCUUGUUUCUAGGCAUAUAGUGUUGAGACUUUUCCCUCCUGCUAUAAAUAAGGCUGUUACAAGUGAGUGUUUGAACUCCAUAUGAAAGGAAGAAUCUGUGGUUAAAUGUGCAUAAGAUAUCAAGUUCAUCCAUUAGUCCAGUAGCUUAUAUAUACAGGGAAAUUAAUGCUUAAAGAGGAGAGGUCAAUCUACAACCAAUUAGUACUAGAAUAUUAAGAUAGCUUUCAACUUAACAUUGGAAAUAUAUCAUCAUAUAAAUAAAGCAUUAAAUGAUCCACUCUUCAAUCGUUAAGCAAGCUAUGAGUAAACACUGGCAACCUUUUUCAAGACACUUCACUCGACACUUUAUACGAAAGAGUCUGAAUCUUUCCUUAACCCGGUAGCAGUGAUGGGCCAAAUUUGUGGCUUGACCGUGUAGCAGCAAUGGGACAAAUUUGUGGCUUUACUGUGUAGCAGUGACGGGACAAAUUUGUGGCUUUACCAUGUAGCAGCGACGGGACAAAUUUGUGGCUUUACCAUGUAGCAGCAAUGGGACAAAUUUGUGGCUUUACCGUGUAGCAGCGACAGGACAAAUUUGUGGCUUUACUGUGUAGCAGCAACGGGCCAAAUUUGUGGCUUUACCGUGUAGCAGCGACAGGACAAAUUUGUGGCUUUACCGUGUAGCAGCGACAGGACAAAUUUGUGGCUUUACUGUGUAGCAGCAACGGGCCAAAUUUGUGGCUUUACCGUGUAGCAGCAAUGGGACAAAUUUGUGGCUUUACCGUGUAACAACGACAGGCCAAAUUUGUGGCUUUACCAUGUAGCAGCGACAGGCCAAAUUUUUGCCAUGAUAUAAACCCCCAAAAAUAGAUGAUACAUAAACUGAUCACAAAUGCGUUUAUAUAUAUUAUGAAAUGGUUUGCGUGAGUGAUGAUUUUUUCUCAUUUUUCUUGCAGCUACCGGGUCAGUAAGUUUUACAUCACAAAACUUACAAAUAGCCAUUACCAACAAAACAGUAGGGAAUGCAGCUGUGUGUCUUUUCAUCCGAGUCAAUUCUACAUAAAACAAUAAUUUCUCGAACCCAAAAAACCUGGCUCCUUCCAUAAUAAGUUUUUACACCACAAAACUUAUAUAUGAAUUGCCUUUGCCAACAUCACAGUACGGAAUCCAAGUGUGUGUGUUUACAAUCGUCAAUUCUAUAUUACAAUAACAUGUACAAUUUCUCGAACCAAAAAAAGUCAGAAUCCUUCCAUAGUAUAAAUUUCAAAUCACAAAACUUAAAAAUUCCCAUUAUCAACAAAACAGUAUGAAAUGCAGUGUGUUUUCUGCAAGUCAAUUCUAUAUAACAAUAACAGAUACAAUUUCUCACACCCAAAAAGUCGUAAUCGUUCCAUAGUAUAAGCUUCACAUCACAAAACUUAUGUACAGAUUCCCUUCACCAACAAAACUGUACAGAAUGCAGUGUGUAUGUUUUCAAUCCAGUCAGUUCUCUAUAAUAACAAUGAGAUACAAUUACUGGAACAAAAAAGUCGUAAUCAUUCCAUAGUAUAAGUUUCACAUCACAAAACUUACAAA
Eriocheir sinensis (Chinese mitten crab) is the source of this 6625-nucleotide long non-coding RNA. RefSeq lists it as uncharacterized. The record is from RefSeq and is a predicted model, not a curated record. The transcript has 2 exons. Lineage: Eukaryota; Metazoa; Arthropoda; Malacostraca; Decapoda; Varunidae.